Molecule: ribosomal RNA, 473 nt
Filed under: Arthrobacter sp.
Lineage: Bacteria; Bacillati; Actinomycetota; Actinomycetes; Micrococcales; Micrococcaceae
Description: bacterial SSU rRNA
Rfam family: Bacterial small subunit ribosomal RNA
Source: RNAcentral
UCAGGAUGAACGCUGGCGGCGUGCUUAACACAUGCAAGUCGAACGAUGAUCCCAGCUUGCUGGGGGAUUAGUGGCGAACGGGUGAGUAACACGUGAGUAACCUGCCCUUAACUCUGGGAUAAGCCUGGGAAACUGGGUCUAAUACCGGAUAUGACUCCUCAUCGCAUGGUGGGGGGUGGAAAGCUUUUUUGUGGUUUUGGAUGGACUCGCGGCCUAUCAGCUUGUUGGUGAGGUAAUGGCUCACCAAGGCGACGACGGGUAGCCGGCCUGAGAGGGUGACCGGCCACACUGGGACUGAGACACGGCCCAGACUCCUACGGGAGGCAGCAGUGGGGAAUAUUGCACAAUGGGCGAAAGCCUGAUGCAGCGACGCCGCGUGAGGGAUGACGGCCUUCGGGUUGUAAACCUCUUUCAGUAGGGAAGAAGCGAAAGUGACGGUACCUGCAGAAGAAGCGCCGGCUAACUACGUGCCA